UAAUUUGAAAAGUGACUUUGAAC
This 23-nucleotide non-coding RNA is filed under the name Gossypium hirsutum (cotton). The record is from RNAcentral. Lineage: Eukaryota; Viridiplantae; Streptophyta; Magnoliopsida; Malvales; Malvaceae.